CGCAGGCUGUCUGUCAAGUCGGAUUUGAAAUCCCUGGGCUCAACCUGGGAACUGCAUUCGAAACUGGCAGGCUUGAGUCUUGUAGCGGGGGGUAGAUUUUCAGGUGUAGCGGUCAAUUGCGUAGAGAUCUGGAGGAAUACCUGUGGCGAAGUCGGCCCCCUGGACAAAGACUUACGCUCUGGUUCGAAAGCGUGGGGAGCAAACAUGAUUAGAUACUCUGGUAGUCCACG
RNAcentral lists this ribosomal RNA (230 nucleotides) under Salmonella enterica subsp. enterica serovar Enteritidis. RNAcentral's name for it is "partial 16S ribosomal RNA". It matches the Rfam family "Bacterial small subunit ribosomal RNA", at positions 570 to 799 of the family's 1533-position model. Lineage: Bacteria; Pseudomonadati; Pseudomonadota; Gammaproteobacteria; Enterobacterales; Enterobacteriaceae. The record is from RNAcentral.